This is a small nucleolar RNA of Megalops cyprinoides (Indo-Pacific tarpon), 137 nucleotides long. Lineage: Eukaryota; Metazoa; Chordata; Actinopteri; Elopiformes; Megalopidae. The record is from RefSeq and is a predicted model, not a curated record.
GUCCAAAGUGUUGAGUUCAGUUCUGGGCACUUCCCCAGUCCUGGUAAUUUAACUUUGGUACAGAAAAUCGGCUUGAAGUACACAGUUUGUUUUGAAGUGGUCGUGUUUGCCAUUUCAUUUGGCUCAAGCCAACAAGC